CAGACACUUUUGAAGAGACCUGAAAAUUUUAUUUACUUAUUAUCAUUUUAUUUUAUUAUUGUUUUCUUUGGAAUCUGGACCUUGACUGUACCUUGACUAAGAAAUUUGGACCUUGACAAAAAAUAAUUGACUUUCUCUGGUUUACAC
Molecule: long non-coding RNA, 147 nt
Organism: Dermochelys coriacea (leatherback sea turtle)
Lineage: Eukaryota; Metazoa; Chordata; Testudines; Dermochelyidae
Exons: 3
Source: RefSeq, a predicted model, not a curated record